UGUAAGCGUAUACCAAAGUUGUUGCAGUUAAAACGCUCGUAGUCGGAAUUUGGCAGUUCCGGAAGUGUGCACGUCGUGUGCGCACUUUGCGGGGACUGCUUUUGUGGUCUUGCGUAGGAUGAGGCACUUUCAUUAGUGAACGUCCUCACGCAACCACUCUUUAUUGUGAGAAAAUCAGAGUGCUCAAAGCAGGCAUUUGCCGUGAAUGUAUUAGCAUGGAAUAAUAGAAUAGGACUCGGUUCUAUUUUGUUGGUUUGUUGGGACUGAGUAAUGAUUAAGAGGGACAGUUGGGGGCAUUUGUAUUCCGGCGCUAGAGGUGAAAUUCUUAGAUUGCCGGAAGACAAACUGCUGCGAAAGCGUCUGCCAAGGAUGUUUUCAUUGA
This 382-nucleotide ribosomal RNA is filed under the name uncultured eukaryote. RNAcentral describes it as "partial 18S ribosomal RNA". It matches the Rfam family "Eukaryotic small subunit ribosomal RNA", at positions 592 to 976 of the family's 1831-position model. The record is from RNAcentral.